GUCAGCUUCCGUGAAUCGGGCCCCGUAAAGUUAAAAACAUGGGAACUAAAGAUUUAAUUCAAAUUUAACUUAGAUGACAACAUUAAGCGACAAUGGGAAAAUUACAACUAUUUAGAUAUAUUUAUAGGUUAUCGGCUCCUAGGCCACAGCCAACUGGUCUGCAAAGCUUUGGACAAAGUGAAUCGGAAAUCGAACUAGAUGGUAAUUCGGACAGUUCCUCGUCAACUGCGUAAACACUGAUUGAACAGGUUUUUCAAAUAAUCCAAUCAACAAAGGAUGUGAUCAACUGCAUCGGUGGGAUACAGGUGUGGUUUCCCCUGCUGAAGCAGGUGAACAGACUCCACUUACCUCCCUUACCUCACCUGUUGACCAGUAGUGAUGGGUUUGCUAUGAGCAAUGAUGCGUUUGCAAUCGGCAACAAUGCGGUUGCUAUAAGCAAUGAUGCAUUGCAGUUGCUAUGGGCAACCUGUUACAGCCCGUGGAGAUGGAACAAGGGUGAUGUUGCCUAGCAGCUCCUAUGCAGACACAAAGCUUGAGCAGAACCAGAUGGCAGGGUACCUGACGUUGCUAGGAAACAUGGUCAAUCAGCAGACGUUUGUUCAGACAAACGGAGCGGCGUUGAUAGGCGAGCUUCUACAGAAGAUAAUGAUUGGUUAAAGGCCUUGUUUUGGGAAAACUGGGCUUAAUGCAUUGAAGCGUCUGCUAGCUGUGACAAUCAAAUGCAUUUGUCUGCGCCUGCCCCUGUCAGCUCAUAACAAAUCCUCAGGACUGGGGCACGGUCUUUGAUGGCACAAGGGACCAGAAGCAGUUGAGUCC
This is an RNA transcript of Dreissena polymorpha, 816 nucleotides long. RefSeq lists it as uncharacterized. The record is from RefSeq and is a predicted model, not a curated record. NCBI's taxonomy places the organism in Eukaryota, Metazoa, Mollusca, Bivalvia, Myida, Dreissenidae. The transcript has 4 exons.